Molecule: ribosomal RNA, 804 nt
Filed under: Thermotoga sp. enrichment culture
Lineage: Bacteria; Thermotogati; Thermotogota; Thermotogae; Thermotogales; Thermotogaceae
Description: bacterial SSU rRNA
Rfam family: Bacterial small subunit ribosomal RNA
Source: RNAcentral
GGUGAACGCUGGCGGCGUGCCUAACACAUGCAAGUCGAGCGGGUACCCGCAAGGGUACCAGCGGCGCACGGGUGAGUAACACGUGGGUAAUCUACCCCUCGGAGGGGGAUAACCGGGGGAAACUCCGGCUAAUACCCCAUACGAUCCAACAACACAAGUUGUUGGAUGAAAGGAGCGUUUGCUCCGCCGAGGGAUGAGCCCGCGGCCCAUCAGGUAGUUGGUGGGGUAAUGGCCCACCAAGCCUACGACGGGUAGCCGGCCUGAGAGGGUGGUCGGCCACAAGGGCACUGAGACACGGGCCCUACUCCUACGGGAGGCAGCAGUGGGGAAUCUUGGACAAUGGGCGAAAGCCUGAUCCAGCGACGCCGCGUGGGGGAUGAAGCCCUUCGGGGUGUAAACCCCUGUUGCGAGGGAGGAAUAAGGCCUGGAGGAAAUGCCAGGCCGAUGACUGUACCUCGCGAGGAAGCCCCGGCUAACUACGUGCCAGCAGCCGCGGUAAUACGUAGGGGGCGAGCGUUACCCGGAUUCACUGGGCGUAAAGCGGGUGUAGGCGGCUCGGUAAGUCGGGUGUGAAAUCCCACAGCUCAACUGUGGAAUUGCGCCCGAAACUGCUGAGCUUGGGGCCGGUAGAGGGAGACGGAACUGCCGGUGUAGGGGUGAAAUCCGUAGAUAUCGGCGGAACGCCGGUGGGGAAGCCGGUCUCUGGGCCCGCGCCCGACCCUGAGACCUGAAGCUAGGGGAGCGAUCCGGAUAUGUCCCCGGGUCUCUCAGCCGAACCGUGCCCAAUAGGUGUGGGGGAUUAUU